AGAGAGGUAAAUGCUAAAAUGUAUUACAUGCGGUCACAUAAUUCCAAAACAAUGACUAUAUAUAGAGGUUGCAACAGAAUGGAGGAAUGAGAGAAUAUCGCCGAUUAGGACUAUUGAUUGAUCAUAUAGGUCGGUCGAUAUGAAGAAACACUACUUUUACUUGUUCCCUCUUGCAGUACCUGUUUUGCUGCACUAUCUAAUGAUGACCAGUUGCACAGCCAUGAAAAGAUUAAGUUUAGGCACUGAUCAAUCUGCUCUUUUAGCCCUGAAAGCCCAUAUCACUUCAGGACAGCAAGAAUUCUUGUCAGAAAACUGGUCUUCUACAGCUGCUGCAUCCUCUGUCUGUGACUGGAUAGGAGUCCAGUGCAGCUCUCGACACCAAAGAGUGACUGCUUUAAAUAUUUCAAACAUGGGACUCACCGGCACAAUACCUCCGGAUUUGGGAAACCUCUCCUUUCUUGUUUCUCUUGAUCUGAGAAAUAACUACUUCCACGGAAAUCUGCCCGAAGAGUUGUCACACCUGCGCCGCCCGAGGUUCGUCAGGUUAACCACUAACAACUUCACUGGAGAGAUUCCAAUGUGGUUUGGUCACUUCCCAGAACUCCAGUUCUUGUUUCUGGACGGCAAUGGUUUUAGUGGUUUUAUUCCUUCUUCUAUAUCCAACUUGUCAAGAGUGGAAAAGUUAGAUCUAAGCUACAAUUUCCUGGAAGGAAAUAUUCCAGAAAAGAUAGGAAAUCUUUCGGUCCUCAGAGAGCUGUAUCUAUCUGGGGAUGACUUAGUUGGUCAGAUACCAUUGAGUUUAUGCAAGUUUUCUCAACGUCAGGUGCUAGACUUGUCUAACAACAGGUUAAGCGGGCAAAUACCUAAAGAAAUUGGAAAUCUGGAGAAGCUCAAGGAGUUAUACCUCAUCACCAAUAACUUAACAGGUAAUAAUUUUGCUUUGCCUUUGUAUACUCACAUGGUCAAACAGCGGUUAAUAGUUUUUUUUUCCCUGUUUGACACAAGGAUUAGAAAAGCGUGUUCAAGUGAAAUCAAAAGAUAUAUGCAUACUAUUUAUACUAUUCAGAUGAAAUCAAAUAAAGAUAUGCAUGGGUUUUAACAAAACUAUUCAUACACAUGAUCAAUGAGAAAUAAAAAAAAAUUCAUUUUGUGAAAUGUUAACAAUUGAAAAUUUUUCUUACCAAAAAAAAAGGAUCGAAAAAUUCAUUUUGUAAAAUGUGAGAACUAUGGAAUGAAUUAUGUAAAUUUUGAUUUGACAUUUUGUCCUUAAAAAAUGCUCACGUACAAGAUACAUAAUGGAUUCCAGCCAAAAACUAGUUGAAAACUUAGAUAGAAACCAAAUUUGACCAAUAUGAAUUUGUAAGGGACGUAAAAUUAUACUUCUAAAAGUAAGGGACGAAAACAAUCAUUUUGCAAAAUGUGAGAAACAUUUUCAACCAUUUUCUCUUUUCAAAACAUGGUCAAAUGUCAUCAAUUAGACAAAUUACAAAUGCACAUUUGUUUUAGGCAUGAUUUAACAUACCUCCCCCAACGUUCAUGACAAUUAUAGGCGGUGCCCUCUAAGUUUGAAAAAUUACACCUACAUCUCCUCUUGGUGUAAAAUAACAAAAAUAACCUUUACGAACUACAAAAUGCAACGGCUCCAUGGAGGGAAUAAUGCAUUUGAAGUUAAAUUUAAAAAAUCAUUUAAUAGAGAAAAAAAGAAGAAGAACUACAGCAAUAGAUUCUAUCUCGUCUUAGCCACCAAAAUCACCUAAAUCUUUCUCAAUAUGGUCAUAGUUUGGGAGAGAGAAGAAUUUAGAUUCCUAUAAACAAUAAAGUGUUACUGAACUAGCAUCCAAUUUUUUUUUUUAUAAUUCUGUCAGCAUGAAUAAUUUUUUAUUUUGAGGGAAAAGGAAUGGAUUUGGUAGAUAAUUUUCUUAAAGUAUGUGAGUAGUAUUUUUAGUUCAAAAUUAUUAAGGAACUUUGUAUUUGCGGAGGAAAAUCAAGUAAGGGUGAUUUAGGAUUAUCAAUAGCAACAUUUUGUUUACAUCAGCAAAGUGAGCCCCAAACAAAUUUCUAAAAAAGGUUUUUACUUUUUCAAACUUAGAGGGCAUUGCUUGCAAUUGUCAUAAACCUUAGGGAUGGUUUGUGAAACUGUUCCUUUGUUUUAAGUAAAUCCAUGUUUGCAUUCUGUCGGAUGUGAAUGUAAGAAGCUAAGGAUUGUAAACUUGAAAGGGCAAGACAUAUAUGGAGGUGAAUAUGGAGAAAAUUAGAUUAUUUCCAAACUUUUACGGAGGAGAGUUGUAAUAUUAUAAGUGGCUAAAGUUGAAAUUUUCAAAAAUUGGAAGGUCUAGGUUCAAAUUUCCUUUUUCCCUCGCUACUUUUUUAAAUCUUAAUUAUCCUUCUCUUGCUAUAAUAUAAAAUUAAAAAAAUGUGUAUAAGUGAAAGUUUGAGAAGCUACAAAGGGAAUAAUAAUUAGUAAUGGAAAUUUCAAUUUCUUUGGGCAGCCUGCUGCUGCAACGUCCCUCUCUAUUCUUUAUUCCAAAAGUUUAAAACAUGAUUACCAACACAAAAUGUCGCUUGCUAGUUAGAUUUCGAUCAAGUAAGACUGUUUUCAAUAUAUCUCUAAAAUGAAUAUGAUUAAUUUUGUCUUUACGUUAAAUUGUUAGGUGUAAUUCCCCGAGAGAUUGGCAAUCUGUACGGUUUAGAGCUUCUCGUAUUGGGGAGUAACAACUUGACAGGUAAAUGUAUAGCUUCACCACUACUUAUAUAUGGUCUAUUUACAAUCAUGCAACUAGCAAUAUUUGGCGUAAGUCCUGAAGAACCUUCGCCAUCGAAAUCUUGUGAAGGUCAUCAGCGGUUGUUGGCACCAGGAUUUUAGGGCCUUGGUGCUUGAAUACAUGUGCAAUGGAAGCCUUGAGAAGUGGCUGUAUUCUGACAACUAUUUCUUGGAUACUCUACAGAGAUUGAAUAUAAUGAUAGAUGUGGCAAGUGCAGUGCAAUAUCUCCACGAAGAAUAUUCGACGCUUGUGAUUCACUGUGAUUUGAAGCCCAGUAAUGUCUUACUUGAUGAAGAUAUGGUUGCCCACGUCAGCGACUUUGGUGUUGGAAAAAUGCUCGAAAAGGACGAAAGCUUUGCAUGGACCAAGACCUUAGCUACAAUUGGCUACAUUGCUCCAGGUAAUGAUUCUUCAAUCUUAAUCCUGAAAGUUUGUAUGGCAUUUAGUUUCUUUUUUCGUUUUUUUUUCUUAUGUCACACUGGUUCAAUUUGAACGUUGUUUGUAGAGUAUGGAUCUGAGGGGUUGAUAUCAACAAAAUGCGAUGUUUAUAGCUAUGGAAUCAUGCUGAUGGAAGUUUUUUCAAGAAGAAAGCCAAAUGAUGAAAUGUUUGCUGGAAAUUUGAACUUGAAGAGUUGGAUAAAUGAUUCUCUGCCUAAUUCGAUUCUUCAAGUUAUUGAUGCUAAGUUGUUGAAGCAUGAGGAUGAAAAUUUCACUGAGAAGUUAGAGGGUUUAGCAUCCAUCAUGGAAUUAGCCUUAAAAUGUGUUCGUGAAUCUCCAACUGAAAGACUCAGUAUGAAAGUUGUACUUGAAACACUGAAGAAGAUCAAACCCAAAUUCUUGCAAGUAAUGUAGGCUGAUGAAUAGUUCGGAUCGAAUAUGUAGCAUCUUUUAUAAUCAUCCGAAAAAUUAGGGAAAAGAGGCAAUUUGUUGAUGCCAAAUAAAUCAAAGCACAUGAGCUAUGAAAGACACUGCGUUACUGCAAAUCAAAUUGUAUGAUUAAAAUUUGGAAUUUCUGAAUGUAGACAGAAGCAGGGAAUGGACCAGUGUUCAAAAAUAACCUCCUCUUCGAGAUUUGAAAUUUGUGAACGAAGCAAAUGUCUCUGGCUAUACAAAUAACCUCCUCAUCUGUAUAGCAGUGUGGUAAGUAGUGUUAUAUCACCACUCAGCCAAUGACAACCAUGUGUUCCACCUCCUUGGUUCCAGGUGAGACAUACACCUGAGAUACAUUUCCAACACUUGGUUGACCCUUUCUGUUUGGCCAUCUAUUUGAGGAUGGUAGGCUGUGCUCAUGCUCAGUUUCACCCCCAGUAGUGUGAAUAAUUCAAUCCAGAACUGACUGAUGAAGAUUUUAUCUCUAUUUGAGAUCAUGCUUUGAGGGAUGCCAUGUAGCUUACUGACAUGAUCCAGAAAAAUUCUAGCUAUCUUAGGGGCAUCAAAAGGGUGAGAUAAGCUCAGGAAGUGUGCAUACUUAGUAAACCUAUCCACUAUAACUAGGAUAGUGUCCUUCCCUUCUAAUCUAGGUAGCCCUUCUAUGAAAUCCAUGGUGAUGUGGCUUCAGGAGUGUUGUGGGAUAGGGAGAGGUUGGAGAAGUCCUGGAUAAGCCACACGUUCAUCCUUACACUUCCUGCAGGUGUCACAUUGCAAGAUUGCUGUCUUGAUCUCCUUGAACAUGCCUGGCCAGUGAAAGAGCUGUUUAGCUCUCAUCCAACUGGCCUGUAUGCCUAAAUGUCCCCCUAGCUGGGAGUCAUGAAGGGUAGAGAUGAGCUUUCUUUGACGUUUGAAUUUGCUGAUCAGUGUCUAUGCAUGAUACUUUGUGCAAAUUUUUGUCUCCCUUGAUGUGCAAAUAAUAAUUAUUUCAUUUGCAUCAUAAACACAUUUCCCAACCCACCUUUUUAUAUUCCUAAUCAACUUUUUAUCUCACAUACAUCACAUCACAAAAAGUGCUACAGUAAUUAUUCCAAAUAAUAUUUCAAAUAAUACUCUAUCCAAACAAACCCAAUGUAUUGGUUGUUCGCAACCUGGUUUGGGUACGUAGUAAGUGGAAGUUUCAGAAUUGUGAACAGUUUAAUGCAUGUUUCAUCAUUUUCCUCCUUUUUUUUAUCUUUUAUUAUUUUUGUAGUCAAUUUUCCCAUUGUAGAAUAAUAUCCUCAAUUUUUUCCUUUUUAUGUGUGUCUUUUGUACAAGUAUUUUUUGCAAGGCAUCUCGACAUUUUCGAAUUGCCAGUUUAUUAUUCUUUCAUUAUUUCUUUUUUUAGUAUGGCAUCUACCUGCUAAUUUUGGGAGGAAAAUGAGAAACGAAACUCGAGCGAGGAGCGGGAUUCAGGGAAGAGUGACGCCCAGACUUUUUUGGUUUCCUGUUUGUAUACACCAUCCAAAACAAUAAAUACACCAUCCUCCCUGGCCUACUACAACUCUCCCUUUAUAUCUUAGAAUCCCACUUUGAUAAGUGUAAUCAGAGUUCAGGCCUGGACAUGUCAAGAUUUCUUGAUGAUAUCUUGUGCCCAGUUAUCACCCUGGUAACUUUCCAGCACUUCUUUCAUCCAUUCUGGUGUGAUUGUGGAAGUUACUGCACACUCAGCUUCAUUCCUCCCCUUCCUGGACAGUGCAUCUGCUACUACAUUUUCCUUCCCCUUCUUGUAGCAUAUCUCAUAGCUCAGGCCCAGCAGUCUAGUCAACGACUUCUGUUGGAGAGGGAUAGUGAUCCUCUGUUCUAGUAGGUACUUCAAGCUUUGGUGGUCAGUGUUGAUGAUGAAAUGGUGCCCUUCCAAAUAGUGCCUCCAUUUAGUGACUGCUAUGACUAGUGCCAGCAGCUCUUUCUCAUAAAUUGAUAGUCCUAAGUUCUUCUGUCCCAAGCUCUGACUGAGAUAAGCCAAGGGUCUCUUGUUCUGCAUCAAUACAGCUCCUAUUCCUCCAUAGCAAGCAUCUGUCUCAAUCAUAAAGGGUUGGGAGAAGUUUGGGAGGACUAGUACAGGGGUACUGCACAUAGCUAACUUCAGCUUCUGAAAAGCAUCUUCAGCCUCCUCUCCCCAGAUAAAGCCAUCUUUUUUUAAGAGAGUAGUUAAAGGUUUUGCAAUAGCACCAUAUCCCUUGACAAACUUCCUGUAGUAGCCUGUCAGUUCAAGAAACCCUUUCAGUUGUUUGGUGUUCACUGGAAUUGGCCACUGCAUCAUGUUGACAAUUUUCUUGGGAUCAGCUCUUACUCCUUCUGCUGAGAUGAUAUGUCCUAGAUACUCCACUUGCUUCUGAGCAAAAGAGCAUUUACUCUCCUUUGCAUAUAGCUGGUGCUGUCUAAGAAUCCCCAGGACCUCAAUGACAUGCUCCACGUGUUCCUCUAAUGUAGGACUGUAGAUGAGUAUAUCAUCAAAGAAUCCUAAAACAUGCUUCCUGAGCUGUUUCUGAAAAACCUGAUUCAUCAAACCUUGAAAAGUUGCAAGGCCAUUGGUCAGCCCAAAUGGCAUGACCUUAAAUUCGUAUAGCCCUUGGUGUGUCCUUAAAGUUGUUUUGGGUAUGUCUUCCUUCCUUAGCCUUAUCUGGAAGUACCUAGCUCUGAGGUCAAUUUUGGUGAAGUACUUGGAUCCAUGUAGUUCAUCCAGUAACUCAUCAAUGAGGGGCAUAGGGAACUUGUUCUUGAUUGUUAGAUCAUUGAGCUGCCUGUAAUCCACAAAAAACCUCCAUGAGCCAUCCUUUUUUUUUACCAAAAGUACUGGUGAGGGAAAGGGGCUGCUACUCAGCUGAAUGAUUCCAGUCUGUAGCAUUUCCUGCACUAGCUUCUCAAUCUCAGUUUUUUGGAUGUAGGGGCAUCUAUAGGGCCUAAUUUGGAAUGGCUUUGCCCCAUCCUUAAGGGUGAUGCAGUGAUCCUGGCUCUUCUCAGGGGGUAGUCCCUGAGGUUCUUGGAAUACAUAUGUAAAUUCCUGCAAUAGCCUCUCCAUUUCUGGUGGUGUGGGUUCCUGGUCAGGUUCUUUGUCCACUACUGCACUCACCUAUGCCAGAAUCCCAUAUGUCCGCUUCCUGGUCCAUUUGUACAGUCUACUACCCCUUAUUAGUGUCAAUUGCACUGUAUUGUCUUCCCCUUUUAGUUCUACCUGUUGCUUCCCCUUCCUGAAUUUCAUACUUAGACCUCUAAAGUCAAAUUCCAUUGGACUGUACCUGGCUAACUAGUCAACUCCUAGUAUCAUGUCACACCCCCCCAACCUCAGGGUUUUGAACUGGUGUUGAAACUCCUAUCCCUGCAUUUUCCAUGUCAUAGGCUUAACAAUGUUUCUGAAUUGUAGUUUUUCUCCAUUUGCCACCCUUACUGACAGAGUCCCCCCUUCUGUUCCUAAUUUUAAGUUUUUGGCCACCUACUCAUCAAUGAAACAGUGUGUACUGCCACUGUCAACCAGAGCAAUAAUGGCCUUCCCCUUAAUCAUUCCUUUGAUCCUGAUGGUCUUGUGUUCACCCCUCCCUGCUAAGGCAUGGAUGGAUACCUCCAUGUGCUCGUUUUCUAAUCCCCCCCCAAUACAAUCACAGAACACAUCAGUCUCAUCUUUCUUCUCCCCCUCCACUUCAGUGGUUGCCUCCUCAUCCUUCUCCAUUAUCAACAGGUUUAAAUGAGACUGUCUGCACACAUGUCCUAUGGUAUAAGGCUCAGCACAUUUAAAGCAUAGCCCCUUUUCCCUCCUAAGGUUGAGUUCUGCUGGGGUGAGUCUUUUGAACUAGUUCUGGGUAUUGGUGUAGUUGUUGUGUGUUUUAGGGGUUGGCCUGUUAGGAAAUUUAGGAUAGCUUGGGGAUUUGUCAGGAGGUUUUGAAUAGUUUGGGGUUUUAAGUAAAGGUUUCUGGAAGUUGGAGUUGUAGGAAAUGGUUUUAUGAAUCUUCUGCAGGGCCCUCAGGUUCCUCUCCUGUAGUUUGUCAGCCUCUAUGGCAUCUACUAGUGUCUUAGGCUUGGCCAAUUUUACCAUGGUUACUAUCUCCUCUUUCAAUCCACUAAGAAAACAGGUUUUAUAGUAGCAAUCUUGUAAAUGGGGAAGAGAAGGCAUUACCAAAGCCUUGAGCAUCUCAAAUUGCUCCAAGUAGUCAGUCACUGAUCCUGUCUGCAUUAGUUUAUUGAAUUCUUCUAUAGCUUCCUCAGGAGAGCCCUCUCAAAAUCUCUUGCAUAGUGCAUUGAAGAGUUCUUCCCAUGAAAUAGCAUCCCUGCCAUUAAACACUCCAUGGAACCAUAUAUCUACCUUAUCCCUGAAAUAGAGUUCUGCAACUUUAGAUUUCAUCUUCUCCUCUACUCCAUUGAUCAUAAAAUACUUAUUGGCCUUCCUGAUCCACUCCCUGGGGUUCUUCCCAGUGAAUGUUGGUAGAUCUACCUUAGGUAACCUGGAGAGUGUUCUGCUCUCUCUGGACUCAGAUCUGUCCUGAACUCUUUUCUGCAACUCUCUCCUCCUGCUGCCUUCCCGGUGUCCUAGUUCUGGCUCUGAGCUGCUACCUUCCAGAUCCUUCCCUUUGUCAUAUAGCUUUGCCAGCAUUUGAGCCAUCAUGUUCAUCAUACCUUCAUACUUCUGAUCCAGGUUUUUGAGAGCCUUCUCGGUACUCUCCUGCUUGUGCUCCAUGAUCCUUACAGCCUGCUCCAGUCCAUCACUCCUGUUAGCAAAAGUUCUGACUAUACUUCCCAAUUCAGUUAUUUCUUUUCUUAUCUCGUCCUGAUUUUUAGUCAUUUCCCAAUGGCUCGUAGCUAGCUUUGAUACCACUGUUAUGGUACAGAAACCAGAGAAACCAAAAUUUGCAGGAAGCAGAAGAAAUCAAGCUCAAUUGAAUGAAAUCAAUUAAUAAUUAAUCGAUGGAACAAUGAGCGAAUAAACUUCAACUUUCAUUAAUUGAAUCUGGAAAACUGGUUACAAGAACAGAAGUGACGAAUUUAGCUGAGAAGGGGAAAGAUUGAAGGAAAAUUUGGGAGGGAAAAUGAGGAUUGCCUUUCAAGCUAAUUCAGACGAAUCUGAGGGAAUAAUUCCUAACAAAUAAAGCAGACAGGCCUGCUUUUAAUACUAACAAAUCCUAACAGAUUAUUAGCUAGACUAAUAAGAAUGAGGCACGUGUCUUACUGUAUCUGAUGGAUUGCCGCGCUUUUGAAUUUCUGUUAGAUCAGUUGAACCCUAGAAAAGGCAUGAUUUUUUUUUAUCACGCCUUCGAUAACCUUCUGGUUUGGUGAUCACGCCUUCCGCUACUGAUAUCCACGCCUUCUUUGUUCCUGCUACCUAGCUCUUGCCUCUGACUUUAGUUAUGCUCUCACUCCAUUACAUAUAGUAUUACAUGUGCAUUACUCCAAAAUUUUCAUGCCUUACUCUGUCCUUGCAUAUGUAUUAGUACGAUGAUUAUCAUCUAUCUGUGUUUGCAGCUUCCUUGUUGUUUAUUGGUUUGUGAAGCUUUUAAUAUCUUCAACUGUGUGAUUUUUUUGUGCUAACACAUUUAGCGUUCCAGAUGAAUCCUUGGAUAGAUUAGAGUAGAAGUAAUAGUGUGUAAGUUGCUAAUUGACCAUAAAAAAAGAUAUUAAAAUUAAUUUUGUAAGUUGAGUCCAUUUCCUUUUCUACCUCGUAUAUUUUGUGAUCUUUUUUAAAGUAUAUUAAAAUUUCAAGUUUAUAAUAAAGUAUGUAGACUAAUCCUAAAGCAAUAGCUAAUGACACUUAAAAGCAUAUUACAAUAGCUUUUAGCUUUAAAAAAGUUAUAAUGAGCUAUAAACGACUUAGAACAGGCCACAGAGGUCCAUUUGUUUCCUUUGCAAAUUUAGAAGAGGAAAAUGUUAAAAUGUGAAUAGGUUGCCAUCAUCAGAAAUUUUGAGGAAAGAAUACGACCGAGACUGCUCAUCUAGAAUUUGGAAAAUUUUUUGUACAGCAUUGAUGAACUUGCUCCGAUGAAUACCUUGUAACUUUCUUGGCAAAAUAAUCAGCGUGAAUAGAAACAAUUGCUUACAAGUUGUUUGACAAAAAUUCAUCAACCAUAAUCACUAUGACUAUGAUAAACUAGUUAGUAAUAAUGAAUUUUUGUUGGAACCCAUACAAGUUUAGGAACUAAAAUUUAGAGGUGUCAAAAUGGAUCAUUCUAACAUGUUUGGACAAGUCAUAAUUUAGUAGUGGGUAUAAUUGGAUUAAUCUACUUAUACCAAUUUAAUAAAUGAGCCAAAAUGAGUCGACAUAUUUAUCCCCAUUUAAUAAAUGAAUAUGAGUAUACCCAUUUACCAAUUUAUGACACAUUUGAAAUUUUACUCUUUUUUAAAAAAAAAUUUUUGCAUGCUGUUUGACAAGAAAUAAUAACAUUUUAUUAUUAUUAGAUUGAUAGGAAAUUCAAAUUGAUCUCAUUAACACUCACUAAAAAUUGAGUUUAAAUGUAUAAUUAUUUUUAAAUGGAUACCUAAUUAAAUUUAUUUAAUUGGUGGGUAGUGGGUUGACUCAGCUUAUCAAUUUAUACCCAUUUAAAAAAUAAUUAUAUAUUUAAACUCAACUUUUAGUGAGUGAUAAGCAAAUAUAUUUGAGAAUUUCUUACUAAUCUAAUAACAAUAAAAUCUUUAUUUCUUGUCAAACAAUAUGUUAAAAAAAGUAGAAUUUUAAGUGACUUAUAAAUAGGUUAAUUGGCUAUAAUUAUACCCACUUAUUAAAUGGAUAUAAAUGGAUUGAUCCAGUUAUAUCCAUUACCCAAUUAUAAUUUGCCCAAACCUAUUCGAAUUACCCAUUUUGAUACCUCUAUGCUCCAUAUUUCGUUGUUUAAAUUCUAGUUAUUGAAUGUUGAUGAUUUAUUGAAAAUUCAAAGAGAAUUGAAUCAUAGUUCUUGCUAAUCAUAUUACGUUAUACGUGUUAGCAUAUGUAAUCUACAAUAGAGCUAUACAUUAAAAAACGCAUGUAGUUUUUGUUGUUAUUUUUCUUAUCUCAAUAAAAUUGGACGUAAUUAACUUUGGAUUACUAUGGUGUGCAGGUAUAGUUCAACGAUUUAAUAAUGCGCAUGCUCAUUUUAAUUCGAAUGUGCAUGUAUUUGGAUUUGUUAACGUAUAAUUUUCGUACUUCAAGUAACAAUUAUUUUAAUUGUAAAAUUGUACAUUAAGUGUUGGAGGCAUAUGGCUAAUCGUAGAGGAUUUUUUUUAUUAUUUUUAUUUUCUUAGUGUAGGUGGGUGUUUCAAACUUGAAACCUCUUAUUUACAUUCCCUCACCGUCCAAUCCAUCCCUUCUCCUGCUGACUGCAGAGUUGAAAAAAUGAAAUAAAAAAAGGCACUUGAUUGUAUUCGAAUAUAAAUCAAUCUCCCAAUCUAAUUUUAUCUCUAAGUUUCAGAUAUGUCCAUCCUAAAAAUACCGUUGUGAUUUUUUAAAAUCUCAAGUAUGUACACCUGAGUGAGUCUAAAAGAAAAGGAUAUAAACACCUUGUAAUUUCUUAGAAUCUCAAAACGAAAAGGAUAUAAAUAAAAUGUUAGGAUGUCACAAAUUUGUGUCUUAUUGAUCAUGAAAAUCUUUGGCUCCACCACUAUAGAAUACCCCUCCAAAAAUUGAUUAUGUGCACAUGGUACGAUCAACUACUGAAGUGAAUUAACUGCACUUGACAUUGUCUAAUUGGAGAGGCAGAAAUGAAUUAAGUGAUACGAAAAAAAGAGAAUAUAAAUGAAAGACAUUAGAUUCAAAUCCUUCCGUUUACACUAAAAUAAAAAGGACAUUAGUAACUAGAAAGUCCCUUGAAGUCCUGUCGUUGGCGAUGUUGAGAGGUAAAGAAAAAGUCUGGUUCUGCCAAUUAUAGAAGUCAAUUGAAAAUGCCUUGUACAUCCUGACCUAUUAAUGACUAUCAAGAAAAAGUCUAAAUAUUAAACGUCCAUGCUAACAAAAUUUCCAACGCCCUUUGCACGCUGAAGACUUGGUGCAUGCGGUUGUUAAUUGACAUCUCAGAUGUUGUAAGAAUUAUUAACGGAAACUUGCAGAAUAGAUCCACAUCAAAUUAAUGAAGGCGAGAAAAAAAGAUGAUUAGGACGUCCAGAAAUUCAUGACUUAAGACUCGUACAAGAUUAAUUACUCCCACUUUAAUUUUUUUUUUUAUAUGAUAGCUUCUUAUACUAUGAGGAGAGGAAAGCCUGAGAGGCCCUAAGAUAACUAUGGUCAGUUGGAUCCUAAUAUUGCUAGACUCGAUUACCACCCACCAAAACUUCGCUAGGUGUCUUCAGAGUUCAGAGACUACAGUAAUGUUAUGAAUUAUUUGCAGAUUGUUAUUUGAGUUAAAGAGACAAAACCGUGUCAACAAUGGGAAGCAAAAUACGAACACAUCAGCGGAAAAGCUAAAGAGUUAUGAUGACCUCUUCCAAUGUACCCAAAAAAAAAUUACAUCAUAUUCAAAUGAUAUUACACUGUUUAGGAGGAGUUGCGUUUCCUCAUCUUGUUGCAAUUUAAGGGUUUAUGACCUCUUCAUUCGUACCAAAAAAAAUUAUGUUAUAUUCAAACGGUAGUAUACUACGUAUUAGGAACGGAUUUCAUAAAACUGUUUCUGUCCUGUAAAAUAUCGACAUUGACUGUUUAUUCUAUGUCUUCUUAUAUUAGUUUAAUUUCUAUAUAAUCUCAAACAACUAAAAUCAAUAACUUUUGAAGCCGUUAAUCCUAACUGGACGUAACCAAUUUAAGUGCAACUGUUAAUAAUAUCGUAGGUGAUAUAGUUUUUUUUUUUUUCCAUUUUAACGUAACUUAUGAGUCAAAUGUUUGUACAUUAAUUAAUCACAAUUCAAAUUGAAUGAUGAAUCAAAUUACCAGAUAUUUGAUUCUAGUCUUGCGGGUAAGAAUUGGCUUGAGUCAAGUUCGAUGACUAAUCAAGCCAAGCAUGAAAAGCAGGUUAUAUAUAGUAAACUUUCAAACUCAACUCAUCUUGAACUUGAUUCAAUUGAUAGUAUAAAACUUGAAAUUUAUCUAUAGAAUUUUCAAUCUACUAGUACAAAGCUCAUGCUCAAUUUGACAAAAGCUUAUUUGAGUUUGACACAAUAAAUUUCAAGUCAAACUUGAAUAAAAUUUCAAACUUAUGAAAAUAAACAAACACGUUUAAACAUUAGAGUAUUGAAGUUUGUUAACACCUCUAAUCCAACUAAUUUAAUCUUAACCCACUUUUGGGAUUUGUCCACACAAUAAUGGUGUCUAUAAAAUCCCCACAUUUAAAACACAUAUACGCUCCACACGCUGGCGUCUAAUUUCCUGUUGUCCAUCACCAAUUUGGACAAUUGAUUGAUCAUAGAGGUCGGUCGAUAUGAAGAGACACUCCCACUUCUACCCUCUUGCAGCACUUGUUUUGCUGCACCAUCUAAUGAUGACCGGCUGCACAGCCAUGAAGAGAUUAAGUUUAGGCACUGAUCAAUCUGCUCUUUUAGCCCUGAAAGCCCAUAUCACUUCAGGACAGCAAGAAUUCUUGUCAAAAAACUGGUCUUCUGCAGCUGCUGCAUCCUCUGUCUGUGACUGGAUAGGAGUCCAGUGCGGCUCUCGACACCAAAGAGUCAAUGCUUUAAAUAUAUAUAUAUAUAUAUAUAUAUAUAUAUAUAUAUAUAUAUAUAUAUAUAUAUAUUUCCAAAACAAUGACUAUAUAUAUAGAGGUUUCAAGUUGGUUAAGAAUUUCACUAUGAAAAACCCGAUCCAAUAAAAGAAAUAAGAUAUGCGAGUUUUUCCUUAUUUUCUCAAACAAAUUUUGGGUAUUUUUCUCUGAACAUUUUUCUCAAAAAACUUACCAAACAAUUUGUGUGUGUUGAUUACUACAAUUAGUGUGUCAAUUAGUAAAACUUGGUGAGUAUUUAUAGACAAAUAAGUUGUCCCUAUCAUUUUAGAAACCUAAAACUAGUUUCUAAUACGAUUUAACUUCCUUAUUAGAUUUAGCUUUUUUAUUUUAAUACAACUCUUGUAUUUGGAAGAUUUAAACUUAUUUGUACCAUAAGUCCCGCAAGUUUAAUUUAUCUCACAUUUUAAAUAUCCAAAAUUUAAAACUUAUCCUUUAAGUCCCUACUUGAAUUUAAUUUAAUAGCCAUAGCUUGGUUAAUAUGUAGUUGUGGUUCAGCCUUUGAAUGAUCAAUCUAAUAGCUAGAUGGAUGGAGAAGAUCUGGUUGAAAAGGCAUUAGCCUGGUGACUAAGUUUAAAAUUUUUUGAAAUUAGAUGUCUUGGAUUUAAAUUCCUCUUUUAUCUCUCCACUUCUUAAAUCUCGCCAUUUCUCUAUUAAAAGGCUGUUGCAAUGCAAAAACACUAGAAUUCGAUAAUCAAUGAACAACACUCAGUUAGCAAAAAGCACAUUAUUCAAAUUAGGUUCAGAACUAGAAUACGAAUUUUUCACUCUUUAAGGGUACAUAGGUCCGUCACGCAGAAACCUCGUAUGGUUGGGAGAUUUUGAUUGAAGUAGUAAAGUUACUCCAAAAAAUCUCUGGAAUGUAACCCUAUGCAGUUUUUCCUAAUCUUUUAUUGGUAAGUACUUGAAAAACUAAACUUCCGAGCCACGAAAAAUAAUCCAUUGCUUUAGGUCUAAUGACACCUCAACUGAAAAUUAUUCAUUCAUAAGUUGCCUGGUAACUGGAUCAUGUCGGCAUGCGGAAUGAAAAAUCAAGCACGGUGUUUAUACGUUGGAUUUUGGAGAAAUUGCUAAUUAGGAGCAAAUAUGAAUUUGAAGAUACCAAACUAAGAGAUUAAUCUAGUCUAAAAAAAAAAAAGGUAAAAGUUUCUGGAUCUCUAAAUUAUGAUCCUCUAAUGGUGUUUUCCACCUCAUGAUUAUCGAAGUUAAUAUGAAAUACAGAAAAGAGUAAACUAGCAAUUUUUGAAGUUAAUUUAAUUUGGUCCACUAAGUCAACCGAUACGGCAUACACAGAAGCUCCGGGAGCAGCAUGACCAGUGACAACUGUCCACAAAAUGUAGGGUCUCCAGUCCCUUGACUUUGCUCGGAGACUAGUGAACUUUGAAACUCAUUCCUUAAGUACUGAACCCACUAACCAAAUAUCAUUUAGUUUUUCUUUAAAUUUUACAAGAUGCCAUUUAGCAUUUUAAAAAAAAAAGUAAAGGAAAACAUGCAGAUUAAAAGCUAGCCAUCAAUGAAAUCACAGUAGGUUGUUGAAAACUGGUCCACACCACUCAAUGAAUUAGGUGAGUAAAGGUUAGUUUAGCACUUCACUAAAUAAUCCCUCAAUUGCUGCUGGUUGAGCAUAUAUAUAUAUAUAUAUAUAUAUAUAUAUCAGCAGCGAUUUCCUGAGGACAAUUCCGAGUGCUUAUUGGUUGAGCCUUUGAGGGAGCACUGUCAUCACUUACUACUCAAUCAAAGAAUUUACUCACAGCAUAAUAAAUCGUAUUUGGAAUCAUUACUACUAAUCAAUAUAUAAUAGUUUGGAAUCAUUGCUAAUCAAUCAUAUUGGUUGCGUUAUAGUACGUAUUAGCGUUUGUAAUCUACAAUAGAACUAAACGUAGAAAGCACAUGUAGUAUUUGUUGUUAUUUUUUGUUUCUCUUGGUUAUCAAUUAUAAAAUUGGUUGGGGAUUAAUUUUGGAAGAUUUGAUUUAACGUGGUCGGCAGGCAUAGUUUGAAUAUAUUCUAUAUACGGAUAGAGAUAAUGUUGUAAAUAAUGCGCAUGCUCUUUUUAUUGCCAAUGUGCAUGUAUUUGGGUUUGUUUACGUAUAUUUUUCCGACUCCAAGGAACAAUUUUUAUGUAAAAUACUACAUAAAAUUUUGGAGGCGUAUGGCCAACCGUGGAGUUGGAAACACAAAAAAAAAAAAAAAAUUUAAUAGUGCUAUAAUAUAAAUCAAUCUCUCAAUUUAAUUCUGACUUUUAUUUCUAAAUUUUAGACAUAUACACCCACCCCUAAAAAGUGAAUAUUGUUGCAAAACUUAAAAUCUCAAGUGUGCGUUAUAAUAUAAAUCAACCUCUCAAUUUAAUUAUGACUUUUAUUUCUAAAAUUUAGACUUAUAUACCCACCCCUAAAAAGAGAAUAUUGUUGCAAAACUUAAAAUCUCAAGCGUUCACACUUGUGUGAACGUGAGUAUGACAAGGAUAUAAACAUAUUACAAUCUGUCUAAUGGAUACCCGUUAAGAUAUAUUUCAGGUGUUAGAUUUUUAGAAAUAUAAAAUUAAUUAAAGAAAUCAUAUAAAUGCAAGGAAAUUAAUUAGAAAAAGUGUGCGAAUGCAAGGGAAAGUAGUAAUUAUUAGUGUUAGUGUGUGUAUACACGAUAGGUUGAGUGGAAUGUAGGUGUAUUAAAGAGUGUUUACAGGACACUGGUUUAAAAAAAAAAUCCAACAUAUAUAUUAUUAGGAUGUAACAAAAAUUGUCCCGCUGACCAUGAAAAUCUUUGGCUCCACCACUGCAGGCAGGAAUGGAUACCCUUCAAAAGCGUUGCUUAUGAAUAUAGGUGUCAAACCAACACAUUUAACUAAAUUUACUUAUACCCUUUCAUGAAUAGAUGGGUAUGGAUAUCUUAAAUUUUUGCAUAUGGGUAUAAAUGGGUUAUCCAAUAAUACCCAUUUAUUAACUGGGUAUUAUUAGGUAAUCCAUCAAACCCAAUUGACCCAUUUAAAAUUAUUUUUCCCCAAAUCUCUUCUCUUUCCCCACCCUUUUUUUUUCCAAAAUUUUCAUUUUGUUAACUACUUUUGUUAUUAUUAUUAUUAUUAUUUGUUGGUUUUAUCUUAUCAUUUUAUUUUCUCUUAGUUUGUUAACUUGCUCAUUUUUCAGUAUUACCAAUUUAUGAUAAGUUUUAGCCUCUUUUCCUACCUUUUCAAAAUGAAAUUUUAAAUUUACACAUGAAAAAAAUGUUAAGGGUUCAAAAUUUUUGGAUUAAAUUUUUAUGUUAACUUUUAUAGUACUUAGUUCAAAUUUUUAUAGUCUUAUUAUUCAACUAUUAAAUACUAUGUAAUUUUAUGACAUAGAGUAUAGAUGGGGAAAAAAUUGGUAAUUAGGCUUAUUGAACAUUAUAAGUAAAUAUUUAAAACUAAUGAUGGGUGCAAAGGAUGGUAUAAAUUGAUAACUUAGUUUGCAAAAAUAAAUUUAAAUGAGUUUACAAAAAGUUAAAAUAAUACCCAUUUAUAUCCAUUUAAUUAGAUAUGUAUAAAUGGAUUGACUCACUUAUACCCAUUAUCCAUUACCCAUUCUACUCAAUCCAAAUCCGUCCAAGUCACCCAUUUUGACACCUCUAUUUAUGAGUAUGUGCCACGAUCAACUACUUCACUGAAGCAGCGAAUUAAGCUCCACUUGACAUUAUUAUUGUCUAACUGGAAAGUCCCGUCCCAUGCAUGAAGUCCCGUUGUUGGGGAUGUUGAGAGGAAAAGAAAAGUCUGGUUCUUCUUUAUUACAGAAGCCAACUACUAAAUGUUAUGGUCCAAUAUCGAAUGGUUAACAAAAUUUCCAACGUCCUUUACACGGUAGUUGACAUGUCACAUGUUGGAAUUUAUCAGCCAAGAAUUAUUAACAGCAACCUGCAGAAUAUAUCCACAUCAAAGGCUAGCUAGAAAAUAGAUGAUUAGUACGUUCAUAAUUUCUUUGAGUUAGACUAGUAGUACCCUAUUGUGUACAAAUAUAUAUAUACAUACAUACAUACAUACAUACAUACCGAUCUUGUAGAUCUAUGGGUCCAAAUUUUGUCACAUCUUUAAAUACUUGAGUUAGUAAAAUGGUGUGUUAAAUUUUGAACCACCAAACCUAUAUACACUCGAUCUACCUAAGUGUUUGCUCUAGACUACAGUCGUAUUCAUUCCCAAAGUCACCCCAACUAGAGAAGUCAACUUGGGGGAAGGGAAAUUUAUUUUUAAAAAGAAAAAGAGAGAGAGAGUCGGAAAAAGUGAAAAAUUGAUCAAAAUUCAGCGGAAAAGGUUUUUUAAGGCAAAGUUUGGAUAGCUGAGAGAGGUAAAUGCUAAAAUGUAUUACAUGCGGUCACAUAAUUCCAAAACAAUGACUAUAUAUAGAGGUUGCAACAGAAUGGAGGAAUGAGAGAAUAUCGCCGAUUAGGACUAUUGAUUGAUCAUAUAGGUCGGUCGAUAUGAAGAAACACUACUUUUACUUGUUCCCUCUUGCAGUACCUGUUUUGCUGCACUAUCUAAUGAUGACCAGUUGCACAGCCAUGAAAAGAUUAAGUUUAGGCACUGAUCAAUCUGCUCUUUUAGCCCUGAAAGCCCAUAUCACUUCAGGACAGCAAGAAUUCUUGUCAGAAAACUGGUCUUCUACAGCUGCUGCAUCCUCUGUCUGUGACUGGAUAGGAGUCCAGUGCAGCUCUCGACACCAAAGAGUGACUGCUUUAAAUAUUUCAAACAUGGGACUCACCGGCACAAUACCUCCGGAUUUGGGAAACCUCUCCUUUCUUGUUUCUCUUGAUCUGAGAAAUAACUACUUCCACGGAAAUCUGCCCGAAGAGUUGUCACACCUGCGCCGCCCGAGGUUCGUCAGGUUAACCACUAACAACUUCACUGGAGAGAUUCCAAUGUGGUUUGGUCACUUCCCAGAACUCCAGUUCUUGUUUCUGGACGGCAAUGGUUUUAGUGGUUUUAUUCCUUCUUCUAUAUCCAACUUGUCAAGAGUGGAAAAGUUAGAUCUAAGCUACAAUUUCCUGGAAGGAAAUAUUCCAGAAAAGAUAGGAAAUCUUUCGGUCCUCAGAGAGCUGUAUCUAUCUGGGGAUGACUUAGUUGGUCAGAUACCAUUGAGUUUAUGCAAGUUUUCUCAACGUCAGGUGCUAGACUUGUCUAACAACAGGUUAAGCGGGCAAAUACCUAAAGAAAUUGGAAAUCUGGAGAAGCUCAAGGAGUUAUACCUCAUCACCAAUAACUUAACAGGUAAUAAUUUUGCUUUGCCUUUGUAUACUCACAUGGUCAAACAGCGGUUAAUAGUUUUUUUUUCCCUGUUUGACACAAGGAUUAGAAAAGCGUGUUCAAGUGAAAUCAAAAGAUAUAUGCAUACUAUUUAUACUAUUCAGAUGAAAUCAAAUAAAGAUAUGCAUGGGUUUUAACAAAACUAUUCAUACACAUGAUCAAUGAGAAAUAAAAAAAAAUUCAUUUUGUGAAAUGUUAACAAUUGAAAAUUUUUCUUACCAAAAAAAAAGGAUCGAAAAAUUCAUUUUGUAAAAUGUGAGAACUAUGGAAUGAAUUAUGUAAAUUUUGAUUUGACAUUUUGUCCUUAAAAAAUGCUCACGUACAAGAUACAUAAUGGAUUCCAGCCAAAAACUAGUUGAAAACUUAGAUAGAAACCAAAUUUGACCAAUAUGAAUUUGUAAGGGACGUAAAAUUAUACUUCUAAAAGUAAGGGACGAAAACAAUCAUUUUGCAAAAUGUGAGAAACAUUUUCAACCAUUUUCUCUUUUCAAAACAUGGUCAAAUGUCAUCAAUUAGACAAAUUACAAAUGCACAUUUGUUUUAGGCAUGAUUUAACAUACCUCCCCCAACGUUCAUGACAAUUAUAGGCGGUGCCCUCUAAGUUUGAAAAAUUACACCUACAUCUCCUCUUGGUGUAAAAUAACAAAAAUAACCUUUACGAACUACAAAAUGCAACGGCUCCAUGGAGGGAAUAAUGCAUUUGAAGUUAAAAUAAAUGGGUUAUAAAUGGGUAAUUGGAUUACUCAUUUAUAUCCAUUUAAUUAGAUAGGUAUACAUGGGUUGACUCACUUAUGCUCAUUACCCAUUCUACUCAAUCCAAAUCCGUCCAAGUCACCCAUUUUAACACCUCUAUUUAUGAGUAUGUGCCACGAUCAACUACUUCACUGAAGCAGCGAAUUAAGCUCCACUUGACAUUAUUAUUGUCUAACUGGAAAGUCCCGUCCCAUGCAUGAAGUCCCGUUGUUGGCGAUGUUGAGAGGAAAAGAAAAGUCUGGUUCUUCUAUUAUUACAGAAGCCUACUACUAAAUGUUAUGGCUGAUGGUCCAAUAUCGAAUGGUUAACAAAAUUUCCAACGUCCUUUACACGGUAGUUGACAUGUCACAUGUUGGAAUUUAUUAACCUGCAGAAUAUAUCCACAUCCAAGGCUAGCUAGAAAAUAGAUGAUUAGUAUGUUCAGAAUUUCUUUGAGUUAGACUAGUAGUACCCUAUUGUGUACAAAUAUAUAUAUAUACAUACAUACAUACAUACCGAUCUUGUAGAUCUAUCGGUCCAAAUUUUGCCACAUCUUCAAAUACUUGAGUUGGUAAAAUGAUGUGAUAAAUUUUGAACCACCAAACCUAUAUACACUCUAUCUACCCAAGUGUUUGCCCUGGACUAGAGUCGUAUUCAUUCCCAAAGUCACCCCAACUAGAGAAGUCAACUUGGGGGAAGGGAAAUUUAUUUUUAAAAAGAAAAAAAGAGAGAGAGACGGAAAAAGUGCAAAAUUGAUCAAAAUUCAGCGGAAAAGGUUUUUUAAGGUAAAGCUUGGAUAGCGGAGAGAGGUAAAUGCUAAAAUGUAUUACAUGUGGUCAUUGGAACUAAGGGUGCAAACGAGUCGAGUCGAGUCGAGAUUUGGCCUUAUCGAACCGAGCCUCCAGUUAAUUAAUUUUGUGAAGAGUUCGAGCUCGACGAGCUCAAAAUGUCAAGUUCGAGCUCGAACUUAAAAAAUAAAAAAAAAAUAAUAAUAAAUUUAUUUUUAAAAAAUAAAAAAUAAUUAUUUAUUUUUAAAAAUGAAUAAAAUAAUAAUUUUUUAAUAAAUAAUAAAAUAUAAGGGAUAUAUGUAUAAUUUUACUAUUAAAAUAAAAAAUAAAAUAUAUAUAUAAUUGAGCUCGCGAGCCAACGAGCUUAAUGUUUUUGAGCUCGAGUUCGACUUAAUUAGCUCGAGCUCGUACUCAAGCCGCUCGCGAUCGGCUCGAUUCACGAGCACCCCUAAUUGGAAUGUGUAAAGAUGAAAGAUCUACAGGACACUGCACACACAUAUUUCCAAAACAAUGACUAUAGAAAUAUAUAUAGAGGUUGCUACAGAAUGGACUAAUGAGAAUAUAUCGCCGAUUAGGACUAUUGAUUGAUCAUUUAGGUCUGUCGAUAUGAAGAAACACUACUUUUACUUGUUCCCUCUUGCAGUACUUGUUUUGCUGCACUAUCUAAUGAUGACCAGUUGCACAGCCAUGAAAAGAUUAAGUUUAGGCACUGAUCAAUCUGCUCUUUUAGCCCUGAAAGCCCAUAUCACUUCAGAACAGCAAGAAUUUUUGUCAAAAAACUGGUCUUCUACAGCUGCUGCAUCCUCUGUCUGUGACUGGAUAGGAGUCCAGUGCAGCUCCCGACACCAAAGAGUGACUGCUUUAAAUAUUUCAAACAUGGGACUCACCGGAACAAUACCUCCGGAUUUGGGAAACCUCUCCUUUCUUGUUUCUCUUGAUCUGAGAAAUAACUCCUUCCACGGAAAUCUGCCCGAAGAGUUGUCACACCUACGCCGCCUGAGGUUCAUCCGGUUUUCCAAGAACAACUUCACUGGAGAGAUUCCAAUGUGGUUUGGUCACUUUCCCGAACUCCGGUUCUUGUUUCUUGACAACAAUGGUUUCGGUGGCUUUAU
RNAcentral lists this long non-coding RNA (21163 nucleotides) under Coffea arabica (coffee). RNAcentral describes it as "long non-coding RNA (CARA_LNC006084)". Lineage: Eukaryota; Viridiplantae; Streptophyta; Magnoliopsida; Gentianales; Rubiaceae. The record is from RNAcentral.